AUGAACGCUGGCGGCAGGCCUAACACAUGCAAGUCGAACGGUAACAGGAANCAAGCUUGCUNCUUNGCUGACGAGUGGCGGACGGGUGAGUAAUGUCUGGGAAACUGCCUGAUGGAGGGGGAUAACUACUGGAAACGGUAGCUAAUACCGCAUAACGUCGCAAGACCAAAGAGGGGGACCUUCGGGCCUCUUGCCAUCGGAUGUGCCCAGAUGGGAUUAGCUAGUUGGUGGGGUAAAGGCCUACCAAGGCGACGAUCUGUAGCGGGUCUGAGAGGAUGAUCCGCCACACUGGGACUGAGACACGGCCCAGACUCCUACGGGAGGCAGCAGUGGGGAAUAUUGGACAAUGGGCGGAAGCCUGAUCCAGCCAUGCCGCGUGUGUGAAGAAGGCCUUUUGGUUGUAAAGCACUUUAANCGAGGAGGAGGCUCUCCUAGUUAAUACCUAGGAAGAGUGGACGUUACUCGCAGAAUAAGCACCGGCUAACUCUGUGCCAGCAGCCGCGGUAAUACAGAGGGUGCGAGCGUUAAUCGGAUUUACUGGGCGUAAAGCGUGCGUAGGCGGCUGAUUAAGUCGGAUGUGAAAUCCCUGAGCUUAACUUAGGAAUUGCAUUCGAUACUGGNCAGCNUAGAGUAUGGGAGAGGAUGGUAAAAAUUUCCAGGUUGUAGCGGGUGAAAAUNGCNGUNGAGGAUCUGGGAGGAAAUACCGGAUUGGGGNAAGGGCAGNCCAUUCUUGGCCCUAGANACUGGACGCUUGAAGGUACAAAAGGCAAUGGGGAAGCAAAACAGGGAUUAAGGANACGCCUGGGUNAGUNCCAUGGCNGGNAAACGAUGNCUACUAAGNCCGUNGGAGGCCNUUUGAAGGCNUUNAGNGGGCCCAGCNUAACGCAAUUAAGUNAACCGCCUGGGGGAGNACCGGUCCCGAAGGACUAAAACUUCGAUUGAAUUGNCGGGGGGCNCCGCACAAACNGGGGNAGCAUGNGGUUNAAUUCNAUGCGNCGNGAAGAAACCUAACNUGGGCCUNGGAGNNANNANGAANCUUNCAGANGAGAGGAUNGA
RNAcentral lists this ribosomal RNA (1056 nucleotides) under uncultured Pseudomonadota bacterium. Its description in RNAcentral is "uncultured proteobacterium partial 16S ribosomal RNA". It matches the Rfam family "Bacterial small subunit ribosomal RNA", at positions 29 to 1018 of the family's 1533-position model. Lineage: Bacteria; Pseudomonadati; Pseudomonadota. The record is from RNAcentral.